UGCCCGUGCGGGUGCUUACACAUGCAGUCGAACGGUGAAGCCAAGCUUGCUUGGUGGAUCAGUGGCGAACGGGUGAGUAACACGUGAGCAACCUGCCCUGGACUCUGGGAUAAGCGCUGGAAACGGCGUCUAAUACUGGAUAUGAGACGUGAUCGCAUGGUCGUGUUUGGAAAGAUUUUUCGGUCUGGGAUGGGCUCGCGGCCUAUCAGCUUGUUGGUGAGGUAAUGGCUCACCAAGGCGUCGACGGGUAGCCGGCCUGAGAGGGUGACCGGCCACACUGGGACUGAGACACGGCCCAGACUCCUACGGGAGGCAGCAGUGGGGAAUAUUGCACAAUGGGCGAAAGCCUGAUGCAGCAACGCCGCGUGAGGGAUGACGGCCUUCGGGUUGUAAACCUCUUUUAGCAGGGAAGAAGCGAGAGUGACGGUACCUGCAGAAAAAGCGCCGGCUAACUACGUGCCAGCAGCCGCGGUAAUACGUAGGGCGCAAGCGUUAUCCGGAAUUAUUGGGCGUAAAGAGCUCGUAGGCGGUUUGUCGCGUCUGCUGUGAAAUCCCGAGGCUCAACCUCGGGCCUGCAGUGGGUACGGGCAGACUAGAGUGCGGUAGGGGAGAUUGGAAUUCCUGGUGUAGCGGUGGAAUGCGCAGAUAUCAGGAGGAACACCGAUGGCGAAGGCAGAUCUCUGGGCCGUAACUGACGCUGAGGAGCGAAAGGGUGGGGAGCAAACAGGCUUAGAUACCCUGGUAGUCCACCCCGUAAACGUUGGGAACUAGUUGUGGGGACCAUUCCACGGUUUCCGUGACGCAGCUAACGCAUUAAGUUCCCCGCCUGGGGAGUACGGCCGCAAGGCUAAAACUCAAAGGAAUUGACGGGGACCCGCACAAGCGGCGGAGCAUGCGGAUUAAUUCGAUGCAACGCGAAGAACCUUACCAAGGCUUGACAUACACCAGAACGGGCCAGAAAUGGUCAACUCUUUGGACACUGGUGAACAGGUGGUGCAUG
RNAcentral lists this ribosomal RNA (1000 nucleotides) under Microbacterium sp. HBUM178233. RNAcentral describes it as "bacterial SSU rRNA". It matches the Rfam family "Bacterial small subunit ribosomal RNA", at positions 34 to 1047 of the family's 1533-position model. Lineage: Bacteria; Bacillati; Actinomycetota; Actinomycetes; Micrococcales; Microbacteriaceae. The record is from RNAcentral.